This 483-nucleotide ribosomal RNA is filed under the name uncultured bacterium. RNAcentral's name for it is "partial 16S ribosomal RNA". It matches the Rfam family "Bacterial small subunit ribosomal RNA", at positions 30 to 506 of the family's 1533-position model. The record is from RNAcentral.
AUUGAACGCUGGCGGCAGGCCUAACACAUGCAAGUCGAGCGGAUGAAGGGAGCUUGCUCCUGGAUUCAGCGGCGGACGGGUGAGUAAUGCCUAGGAAUCUGCCUGGUAGUGGGGGAUAACGUCCGGAAACGGGCGCUAAUACCGCGUACGUCCUGAGGGAGAAAGUGGGGGAUCUUCGGACCUCACGCUAUCAGAUGAGCCUAGGUCGGAUUAGCUAGUUGGUGGGGUAAAGGCCUACCAAGGCGACGAUCCGUAACUGGUCUGAGAGGAUGAUCAGUCACACUGGAACUGAGACACGGUCCAGACUCCUACGGGAGGCAGCAGUGGGGAAUAUUGGACAAUGGGCGAAAGCCUGAUCCAGCCAUGCCGCGUGUGUGAAGAAGGUCUUCGGAUUGUAAAGCACUUUAAGUUGGGAGGAAGGGCAGUAAGUUAAUACCUUGCUGUUUUGACGUUACCAACAGAAUAAGCACCGGCUAACUUCGU